Gallus gallus (chicken) is the source of this 2271-nucleotide long non-coding RNA. Lineage: Eukaryota; Metazoa; Chordata; Aves; Galliformes; Phasianidae. The record is from Ensembl.
UGUCAGUCUUCCAGAGAUGAAAGACUGCAGCCCAGGCAAGCUGCCCGAAUUUGCUGAUGGCAUCUAAUUGUGGCCUGCAGGCUGAGCAAGCAGCACUGAUUUCUGUGUUGAUUAGGCAAUAAUUUGAGUUGAUUAUUAUUUCUUGUUUCCUUUCUUCUCCAACUGACAAAUGGCAGAAAAAUGCUGGGGAUGAUCCUGAAGAGACUGAUGGCUACACAAAAUCACUGUCAGAUCUCAUUUGGGCCCCAUACAGGGCUUUGGAAAAAGCCUUGGAAAUGCAGAUCAGGUGCAAGGAACACUUCUCUGUGGCAGAACAACAAGCCAGCAACAGGCAUACCAUGAAGGGUCAUCUGGGAGUAGAGCAGCAAGUAAGCUGUGAUGCUGCCCCGCUGAGCUAUCUGUGUGACAUUCACUGGGCAUCCCAUUACCUGUGAUUUCUGCAGGGCGGUUGCAGCUGUACACACCGAGACCUUCAGCCACAAAGAAGCUGAACCCUAAGCAGUGCUGGAGCGCUGAUUGCCAGAAGCACUGUUGAUAGUUGUGUGUUCUCCUAACAGCCUCGUGGCAGGACCAGACUUCAACCCUACCCUGCAGCAGCUCUUAGAAAUCUUGAGAAUAGAGACAUAGAGGCACAAAGGAACAUUUUACAACAUAAGGGAACUUGCUAUACCCUGAUAGCAUAGUCACUAGCAAUUACACUGUAUGGUUACAUUUCAGCAGAAGAAACCACACUGCAAAGCUUUCCAAUCUGGGUUCUCACUGAAUUGGUGAUGUCUCCCAAAAAGCAGUGUGCAAAGCCUUGUUCCUGCAGAGCCCAGAAGGACCUGCACGGGCCAUCCCGUGGCAGUAGCUCUGUCCCUGCCUCCCUCCCCAGCCUCUGCAGGCAGAGCACAAAAGAUAAUUGCUGUUCUACUGGCCUGAUAGUCUCACCUUGCUGCACUGCCUUGCACGGCCCCUUCUUAUCAAUCUGCAGAUCAUCACCAUGCUUUUACUGGCCUGUUGGAGCUUGCAUGCUCCGCUGGCUGCUCGCACUCAAGGCUCACCCCUUACCUGCUUGUACCCACCCGUGAUUUGGGAACCUCUUUCAGUAGCAGCUGCUCUCAGGCUGCUCUAAUGGGCAAUACUGGAAACUCCACAUCAGGGUUGUCCCAUCACAUCCAGCACCCAUAAAACCAGAUUCAUUGCAAGCUGCCCUUCCCCUCCCUCACAGCAAUUAGCACUCUUGAGGUUCAGCCACCACUUCCCCAUGAGUAUAUAUGUGACUGUAAAUGAAUCUGAGAGGCAACCCCCCCAAAAAAAAAUUUCCUAAAGAAAUCAGCUGGGUUGUGCAGGGGACUUGGAACAGGUCUCUUUGUCCUUCUGCUCUGGGACAUGGGACUGGGCAGGUCCCGGUUGCCUUGGGAAGGCUCUGGGUGAGGGUUGUACCAUACUGGUCCCAGCUGGGUCUCUCCCAGUUUCUCAAUUUUACGAGCGCUAAAAAUAUUUGAGAGACAUAAACACAAAAUCCGAAGUGUGCAGAAAUCCCUCCCUCUUGCCCGGAGCACUCUGGGCAGCUCUGCCCAGGAGAGGAGGGCAUGGGGGCUCCUUGGUUCACUGCGAACUGUCCCAGCAGAUCUUAUCACCGUCAGUGCUGGGACACAGGCGCUGGUCCCAGAGGUGACCUCAGAAGGUAUGUGCCAGAGAUCACCCUCGCCUGGAGGGAGAGUGGUGGGACACAUCCUGCUCCUUCCUGCCUUUAUGCUGGAGCUCAUGCCGGCAAGCAGAUGGCGACGGAUCUCAUCCAUUAAGACAGAGAAACAAGGAAUUUGCCUCAAUUGCAGGCAAUCACAACACCGAAGCCGUCUCUGCAGUCUUUAAUGCCCAACAAGCACAUCCGAUCCUCUCAAUUCGCUCCUCCACAAUUAGGAGCAAAAGAGCAGCAGCCACUACCAGCAGUGCUGGGCACACAGCGUGGGGAGGGUGAGGGGACGUGGGGGGGAUCCAAAGCUUUCAUGCAGCACAGGGCAGUCCCCAGGCAUGGUGCAGCAUCUCAGGUGACUUCUUUCUCGUGCAGGUCCUUGAGAAGCGUCCUGUAAGCAAAGCAUUUGAGGCAAUCCAAAACAAAACUUUCUGCCUGGCUCGGCAGAAAACAGAAAACAAACUUUCCCGUGGGGCUGAAGGGAGCGUUGGUACAGCAGGAGGUCAGGUCUGUCAUUUAGGUGUGGGGUUUUGUACGCAGAGAGCCUUGCCAGUAAAUAUCACUCAGAAACGUUGGAAAUGGAUCAAGAAUUU